CUCAACCCUCGACCUUCUAGCCCGAAGUCCAGCGCGCUAACGACUUUGCCCCAAGAGCAUGCUCAAGCGAAAUAGUCGAUAUACGCGCUUAUAAACCCAGGGUCGUUACACUACUCCCUCCUUACAAACAGCGCGACCUCUUGUUAGCUUGCGAUUCUACGUCUUUUAGGAACGCCCCGAAAUACUUUAAAGUACUACUUAAGUUGUUUUUUUGGGUAUCUGUACUUUAUAUUUUUGAAUACUUUUACUUUUACUUCACUACAUUCCUAAAGACAAUUACAUACUCUUUACUCCAUACAUUUUCCCUGACACCCAAAAGUACUUGUUAAAUUUGAAUACUUAGCAAGACAGAAAAUGUUCAAAUGUAUAUACCUAUCAAGAGAACCAGAGGAGGUUGUAGAGAUGGGUCAUUCAGACCCUUUGAGGACCAAUGAAAACUCAGACUCAGAGGGACCAAUCAUAAGAACAAAAAAUACACUCACAUAGGAAAAAAGAGAGCACAGGUUCCAGCCACUCCCAGACAUUUGGGUCCAAUAAGAGGACAUAACACAACCAUUCCUAGGCAGUGGAAACCAAUGAGCCCAGUGCUAGCAGUGUUAUCCCUCUCCUUAGAGAGGCUGUGGGUCUGGAGACGAGGGUGAGCUUGCAGUCAGACAGAGAGGUGUGUGGAUGCCUCUCCAGUCCUGCUGGUCCAGAGAGGAGGCCCCAGGGCCACAGUGUUCAUUGGUUCCCAUUCCCACAUGAUGCAGACCCUGGACCUGUCACUGGGGGGCUGUUGUGUUAUAGAGGGUCUCAGGACAGGAUCGAGUCCUCUGCUGCUGUGUCCCGAUGUGGAAGACUCAUCGUAGUUGUCUGGGGAGACAGUGGGUGUUUGAGACUGGACAUGCUGUGAAGAGCUGUCCUACUGUGGAUCCCCUCGCAGGCUUGGUGAUGGUGGGGUCGCAGGAUGGCCACGUCUAUGCCCUUGACCCACAGGUUCGGCAGUGUGUGUGGACGCACCACUGUGGGAGUGGAGAUGUGUUCUCCUCACCCUGUCUCCAUCCCUCUCUGACAGCAGUGUGUCGCCACCCUUGGUGGAAACUUCCUCUGUCUCCAUCCUGACACUGGUUUUGUCCUGUAGAUGUAUUCCAGGAAGACUACAUUUUUCUCCAUCCCAAGCUGCUUCAUUGGAAACCUAAUCAUCAGCUCUGUGGAUGGAAACAUCUGCUGCCUCAGACACACAGGGAAAAUGGUGAGAGGAAGAACGGCCACUAAGAUAAUGUCCAUUUUUAGUCUUUCUCCUUAACAUCUUCAUUUUCACCAAGUAACUAUUGAUAUUGCUCACUUAUGUGUUUAAUCUUUAAUACUGUGUUUUCUGCUGCUGUGGCAGUAUGUGACCAAGGGCAGUCUUCUCAUCCCCCUGCAUCACACCAGACAAGCAGAGCAUUGUGUGUGGGUCACAUGGUGGGUGGGUGUACUGUCUGAACUGUGCUGACGGCUCAUUGAUGUGGCUCUACCAGAGGGUGUACUCCAGCCCCUGUGUGUUUGAGGGGUCACCCUGAGGUAUGGAAGGUACAUUGGUGGGCCUGGCCUCCACAGAUGGGACCCUGUGUGUUCUGGAUGGAGAGAAUGGAACUCUGAGAGCCUCUCUCUGCCCAGGGAGCUCCUCUCCUGUGGUGUGUAAGCGCUCCUGGUGGU
Molecule: long non-coding RNA, 1677 nt
Organism: Oncorhynchus kisutch (coho salmon)
Lineage: Eukaryota; Metazoa; Chordata; Actinopteri; Salmoniformes; Salmonidae
Exons: 4
Source: RefSeq, a predicted model, not a curated record